AAUACCGAAUACACCCUGCUGGCUGCAUGGCCUGGUGGGGGAAAGCUUUUGCGGUGUGGGAUGGGCCCGCGGCCUAUCAGCUUGUUGGUGAGGUUACGGCUCACCAAGGCGACGACGGGUAGCCGGCCUGAGAGGGUGACCGGCCACACUGGGACUGAGAUACGGCCCAGACUCCUACGGGAGGCAGCAGUGGGGAAUAUUGCACAAUGGGCGCAAGCCUGAUGCAGCGACGCCGCGUGRGGGAUGACGGCCUUCGGGUUGUAAACCUCUUUCACUAGGGACCAAGCGCAAGUGACGGUACCUACAGAAAAAGGACCGGCCAACUACCUGCCAGCAGCCGCGGUAAU
RNAcentral lists this ribosomal RNA (347 nucleotides) under Mycobacterium sp. CT-26. RNAcentral's name for it is "bacterial SSU rRNA". It matches the Rfam family "Bacterial small subunit ribosomal RNA", at positions 165 to 524 of the family's 1533-position model. Lineage: Bacteria; Bacillati; Actinomycetota; Actinomycetes; Mycobacteriales; Mycobacteriaceae. The record is from RNAcentral.